This 83-nucleotide transfer RNA is filed under the name Nitrospinae bacterium CG22_combo_CG10-13_8_21_14_all_47_10. RNAcentral's name for it is "tRNA-Leu". It matches the Rfam family "tRNA". From Rfam's summary of the family: Transfer RNA (tRNA) molecules are approximately 80 nucleotides in length. Their secondary structure includes four short double-helical elements and three loops (D, anti-codon, and T loops). Lineage: Bacteria; Pseudomonadati; Nitrospinota. RNAcentral also lists the same sequence under 1 other name. The record is from RNAcentral.
GCGGAUGUGGCGGAACUGGCAGACGCGCUGGAUUUAGGAUCCAGUGGGCAACCGUGGGGGUUCGACUCCCUCCAUCCGCACCA